GGGUGAGUAACGCGUGGGAAACCUGCCCUAUACUGGGGGAUAGCAGUUGGAAACGACUGAUAAUACCGCAUAAGCGCACAGCUUCGCAUGAAGCAGUGUGAAAAACUCCGGUGGUAUAGGAUGGUCCCGCGUCUGAUUAGCUAGUUGGUGAGGUAACGGCCCACCAAGGCAACGAUCAGUAGCCGGCCUGAGAGGGUGUACGGCCACAUUGGGACUGAGACACGGCCCAAACUCCUACGGGAGGCAGCAGUGGGGAAUAUUGGACAAUGGGGGAAACCCUGAUCCAGCGACGCCGCGUGAACGAAGAAGUAUUUCGGUAUGUAAAGUUCUAUCAGCAGGGAAGAUAAUGACGGUACCUGACUAAGAAGCACCCGCUAAAUACGUGCCAGCAGCCGCGGUAAUACGUAUGGUGCAAGCGUUAUCCGGAUUUACUGGGUGUAAAGGGUGCGUAGGUGGAAUGGUAAGUCAGAUGUGAAAACUAUGGGCUCAACCCAUAGCCUGCAUUUGAAACUGCCGAUCUAGAGUGCAGGAGAGGAAAGUGGAAUUCCUAGUGUAGCGGUGAAAUGCGUAGAUAUUAGGAGGAACACCAGUGGCGAAGGCGGCUUUCUGGACUGUAACUG
Molecule: ribosomal RNA, 620 nt
Filed under: uncultured bacterium
Lineage: Bacteria
Description: bacterial SSU rRNA
Rfam family: Bacterial small subunit ribosomal RNA
Source: RNAcentral